Molecule: ribosomal RNA, 421 nt
Filed under: Fusobacteriota bacterium
Lineage: Bacteria; Fusobacteriati; Fusobacteriota
Description: Fusobacteria bacterium partial 16S ribosomal RNA
Rfam family: Bacterial small subunit ribosomal RNA
Source: RNAcentral
UGGGGAAUUUUGCACAAUGGGGGGAACCUUGAUGCAGCGACGCCGCGUGAGGGAUGGAGGCCUUCGGGUUGUGAACCUCUUUCGCUCGUGUGCAAGCCGCUAUUUGGGUAGUGGUGAGUGUAGCGGGUAAAGAAGCGCCGGCUAACUACGUGCCAGCAGCCGCGGUAAUACGUAGGGCGCGAGCGUUGUCCGGAUUUAUUGGGCGUAAAGGGCUUGUAGGCGGUUUGUCGCGCCUGUCGUAUAAUCCUCUGGCUUAACUGGGGGUGUGCGGUGGGUACGGGCAGGCUUGAGUGCGGUAGGGGAGAUUGGAAUUCCUGGUGUAGCGGUGGAAUGCGCAGAUAUCAGGAGGAACACCGGUGGCGAAGGCGGGUCUCUGGGCCGUUACUGACGCUGAGGAGCGAAAGCGUGGGGAGCGAACAGG